GACGAACGCUGGCGGCGUGCUUAACACAUGCAAGUCGAACGAAGAGCGAUGGAAGCUUGCUUCUAUCAAUCUUAGUGGCGAACGGGUGAGUAACGCGUAAUCAACCUGCCCUUCAGAGGGGGACAACAGAUGGAAACGACUGCUAAUACCGCAUACGAUCUAACCUCGGCAUCGAGGAAAGAUGAAAGGUGGCCUCUAUGUAUAAGCUAUCACUGAAGGAGGGGAUUGCGUCUGAUUAGCUAGUUGGAGGGGUAACGGCCCACCAAGGCGAUGAUCAGUAGCCGGUCUGAGAGGAUGAACGGCCACAUUGGGACUGAGACACGGCCCAGACUCCUACGGGAGGCAGCAGUGGGGAAUCUUCCGCAAUGGACGAAAGUCUGACGGAGCAACGCCGCGUGAGUGAUGACGGCCUUCGGGUUGUAAAGCUCUGUUAAUCGGGACGAAAGGCCUUCUUGCGAAUAGUGAGAAGGAUUGACGGUACCGGAAUAGAAAGCCACGGCUAACUACGUG
Molecule: ribosomal RNA, 510 nt
Filed under: uncultured bacterium
Lineage: Bacteria
Description: partial 16S ribosomal RNA
Rfam family: Bacterial small subunit ribosomal RNA
Source: RNAcentral